ACUGCUCAUUAGUGCUGGAAGGUUGUAAUAUUGGAAUAAAUCUUUCCAACUGACAUUAAGGAGAUCAAAGUUAAUUGAGUCUUCUAACAGCACAAGCCAUAAAAAUUGAGUCUUGACAGUUCUGCCACCAAUCCCAGGAAAGAAGAAACAAUUCAAACCCCCUUCCCUCACCCAUCAGAAUUGGUGGAGACAUCAAGAGGCAGGGACAGACGAUGCUUCAAAAAGUAGGAAGGCAAUCCUGUCUCUCUCUUUCUUUCUCUCCCUCUCACUCCUUGGUGUGUCCGUUGUCUUGUCCAGAUGUCUGUUUUAGUAUCUCUCAUCUUGAAAUAACUGUUUAUAGGACUCUUUAUAAAAACUUGGGAAACCAAGCUUUGAAGAAAAGAAGAAUAUUUGAAACAACUCUCUCCUUUAUGAUAUUGUUUAUAGACGUGCAAAAAUUUCAUUAAGGUUAGUUACAGGUUAUUAUAUAUAUAUUUGAAAGAUUUCAUUG
RNAcentral lists this long non-coding RNA (490 nucleotides) under Androctonus crassicauda. The record is from RNAcentral. Lineage: Eukaryota; Metazoa; Arthropoda; Arachnida; Scorpiones; Buthidae.